CCGAGUUUACAACUCCCAAACCCAAUGUGAACGUUACCAAACUGUUGCCCUCGGCGGGGUCACGCCCCGGGUGCGUAAAAGCCCCGGAACCAGGCGCCCGCCGGAGGAACCAACCAAACUCUUUCUGUAGUCCCCUCGCGGACGUAUUUCUUACAGCUCUGAGCAAAAAAUUCAAAAUGAAUCA
RNAcentral lists this unclassified non-coding RNA (184 nucleotides) under soil metagenome. RNAcentral describes it as "partial internal transcribed spacer 1". The record is from RNAcentral.